Molecule: long non-coding RNA, 3790 nt
Filed under: Mus musculus (house mouse)
Lineage: Eukaryota; Metazoa; Chordata; Mammalia; Rodentia; Muridae
Description: long non-coding RNA chr3:88209824-88213614
Source: RNAcentral
CUUUGAUUUUGGUCCAUUUUGUAGUAAGAACUGCAUUGUCAAAGCUAAGAAGCAAUGCAAACAACAUAGCCUGGGGACAAAAGGCCACCCUGUGUCUGGUUCGGUGCAGAGAGGAAAGCGCCCUCCCUCUUCUUCCACAGCUCCCUGGGGACGAGAUGGGGGUCUUUGACUCUGGGGAAGUGGUUGAGAAAGGUUUGAGAAAGGGACAGAGAUAGCUAAGGGGGUGUCAGGUGAGCCAGGAGAGCAGUAUAGAUUGGGAUGGAUGGGGUGGGGGGAGCUGGGUCUUUAAGUCGCUGAGUGGGUACAUGAGCACCUUUAGCAUUGGGAGAUAAUGCUACUUGCCUUGUCCAUGAAUUUACCACUGAAUGUGUCUGAGUUUAUGGGUGUGAGAGUGCAUGCCUGUGAUUGAGUAUGGGUGUGCUUUACACACUCGCGCUUUUGACCAGAGAAGAGCUUAUGGGAAACAUGGAUGACUAAGCUGACCCCUGGCCAUCUUAGUCACCAUGUCUCAUUUCCCUACAAUGUAGGACUGGGGCAAUAGGCAUGUGAGUCCAUGGGGAGCAGACCAGGAGGAGCUGGGAAGGCUGAAAAUGCUCCCACUUCCAGGAAGGGUGUGUCUCAGGGGCCACCUCCUCUAAAUGGAGUCUCCAGGCAUCCUAACCUCAUCAGUGCAUUGCUAACUGCUGUUACUUUUAUUUGUCCCAAUGCUAUACACAUUGCAGGCAUUCAGUGACAGAAUACUGUUUAAUAGUAGCCACAGUAAUUAGUAGCACAGUAAUUCUGUUGCAGAGAUAAGCACACCCCCAGAUAAAGCUCUGAGUGUAUCUUUAAGGCAAAUCCACCUUGCAAACAAGGGAAAACUAUGUUUUUAUUAUACUUUCUAAGCAUUAAUCCCUUAUGCACUACUUUACUAUUUCAGGAAAGUGCUUUACUGCCAAAGUUUACAUAGAGUCUCAAAAGGUCCAGUCCAGACAGCAUAACUGAGCCUGUGCUUCUGUCUCUGUAGGCCCUUCAGACUCAGAGACAAUAGGUGGGCAGCUGUAUUGAGAGGGGACAUUGGCUUUGGUUGUAGCUGUGCCUCAAGGCUUAGGUGUUUGCCUAGUAUGUAUUGAGCCCUGGGUUUGAUCCCAGGAACCCCCAAAGGAUGAAGGCUCCUGGAACACCCACAGACCCCUAUUAGCACAAAGAGUUGAAAUGUCCUCCCAAGAAGUAGUCACAGUGAGAGCCACAGGCCACCAGAGAGUAGACUGCUUUGUGCUGGAGGAGACAGAAAGGGCUCUGCUCCUUAGGAGACUGAGGCUGGUGAGCCAAUCCAGCCCUCUGGGCGCUUGUGCCCAGCCCUGAGUCCUGCAGACUUGCUGCAUCCAUUGCUGUUCUCUGUUGUCUCCUCUGACACAAAUACAUUUCUCAAAGAUUCUGCAUAAACCUUCCCUACUGUUUUGGUUUGUGAAGGAAGAAUACAAUACGUCAGAAAGAAAAAAGGAAAAAAAAAAACUUGUCUUUGAGGACUACUUUUGAAGGAGUUUCUUAUUUUAAACUGGAAGAACGUAAUUUAUACUCACACUGAUUCCAGUUAAAAGGAGCAGAAGGUCCUCUGCUUCUCUCUGUGCAUAGUGAGGUCCCAUUUACACUGGGGCAAAGGUGUCAUUCACCUGCACCCCUAAAGGAUCAAUGGGGGUGCCAGCUUGUCCUGUGAACCCAGACAAAAUUUGCUUCCCUGGCAACUGGACAGAGGAGGGCAUUCUAACAUGCAGUGGGCUGUUCUUUUGUGGGUUAUCUUCUUGAUUUGGAUGCUGUUAAACUGAACUGCCCCUAAAAAGCUCAAAUUCAAUAUAAAAGGUGGCAGGACUUUAUUCUGUAUCUGCUGUGUGGGGAACAAUUUUUUAGCACCCAGCAAAGUGUGUUCAUUUCUUCCUUAAGGUUAAUUUUUGAGAAAGUCCAGUUGAGCCUGAAUUUGGCCAUUAGGAAUAUGGGGUGGGAGUGUACAUCGGACAAGGAAAUCUUUGUGUAUUCUCUCCUUCCCAACAAAAAUACAGCAGUGCCUGAGAGGAAAAGUUUGACUGGCUCAGCUGCCUCCUACCUCAAGGCUUGCAGGACUCCAGGGCAGGGGGUUCCUGUAGAGGGCUGGGAAUGGUAAAACUUGGUGAGACGGAAGGGAAACAUCUUACUAGCAGCUAGGGCUCUCUUUUCCAAGGCUGGCUCUGACCUCCAAACUUUUUGGUGUUGGGAAGGGAGGAGAGGACAAAGGUACUUCAGGGGUUUGAAAGCAGUUUUGUGGGAAGAGCAAACCAAUGCUCUUAGGAAGCUAGGUCAGCAUGUGGGGAGGAGUUUAGUGUGCAUGUCACAUGUAUGUCAGGCAUCCUUGAAAGGGCACAAGGUGGCAUGAAGGGCAUGAGGGAGCAUGCAGAGAACGGGUCACAGGCUUGUAGGCAUGGUGGAGAAAUGUAGUCAAGGGCUUUACCAGGGUUGAUCUAGGAAUUGUAUUUAGCACCAUGCCCAGAGGGAAAGUUGCCUAGAGAACAUUUGGGGGGAAGAAACCCCUUUUUCUGCAGGUGUACUGGAGCUCCAGGAGCUCCCAAGCCCUCUGGGCACACCAUUCUGAGCUGUAGGGGAGUGAAGGAGACAGUUUAGGGUGUGCCCUUUUCUCUGCCCCACCAUUGGACAUGGCUUAGUUCUGGCAAAUCAUCCAAGCUGCCAAAGCUUCUAGAACACCUCUCCCCCAGCUGGUUUUGGUGGUGCAUACAGGCUUGUAAUCUCAGCACUUGGGAGGCUGGAGGCAAGAAGAUCAAAAUUUCAAAGCUGGUCUGUGCUAAAAUAAGUUCAAGGCUAGCCUGAGCAGCUUAGCGAGACUGUCACAGAAUAAAAAGUGAAAGAGGUAGGGCUUAGGGGCAGUAAAAGAGGUCUGGGGUAGUGGGGCUUGCCUGGCCUAUAAGAGGCCCUGGGCUUAACCCUCAGUACUUAAAUUAAUUAACAAGCCUCUCUCAGAAAAGAGCAUUAAAACAACAUAGAGAGAAAAAAACAACAUAGAGGUUUGAAAAGAAAAUAAAAGAAAGAAAAGAAAAAAAGAAAAGAGAGGGAGAUUCAAAAUAAAUAAAUAAAUAGACAGAUAAAUAAAUAAAUAAGUAAAUAAAUAAAUAAAUUCUGGCUAAACCUGGUCCUGAGAAUGCCCCAAGACAUGGAGAGAUAAGGCUAUUUGCUUGCUAUCAUCCUUCUGGUAGGGAAACAUCUUGUGGGUUUUAUCUCAUCUCAAGCUGGCCCCACCCACAGCCAUGCAGCCAGCAUUAAUAGCAAUGAACAUUCAGACAUACUCCGUUUUGGGUGAGAAGCACUAAGUUAAACCUAUUAGCCACCACCUUCCAUCUAAGCAAGAUAAGCAGUCCACAGGUCUGGCUUUGUUUUGGGCUAUUCAUGGGACUAGCAGAUAGACAGACCCAAUGGUUAAAGUGAUAGUCCCCUAAAUGGACUGCUGGUGACUCCGUGUUUAGGGGUCCCUGGUUACAGGAACUGGCUGGUUUAAUCUGACCAGCAGGAUUUAGGCAUCUCAGCCAGUUUUAUAGAAGGGACCCAGCAGAGGAUAAGUAGGAGGAUGAAGGGACCGCUCACUGGCACACAGAGCAGCUCCUGGGGCCCAUGGUUGCUCUGAGAAUUUCGAUGUACCUAGAACCCAGAUGUUGCCCAACAGCAACUGGCUACUCCCCGGUGCUUUUCUGCUUCUGCUUCUUUGGUGGAGAAAAGGACCUUUCUGGCUGGACUGGAUUGAGAGCCAGGUGGAGGAAGUUGAGGACGGGGA